GAUGAAGAACGCAGCGAAAUGCGAUAAGUAAUGCGAAUUGCAGAAUUCCAGUGAGUCAUCGAAUCUUUGAACGCACAUUGCGCCCGCCAGCAUUCUGGCGGGCAUGCCUGUUCGAGCGUCAUUUCAACCCUCGAGCCCCCCCGGGGGCCUCGGUGUUGGGGGACGGCACACCAGCCGCCCCCGAAAUGCAGUGGCGACCCCGCCGCAGCCUCCCCUGCGUAGUAGCACACACCUCGCACCGGAGCGCGGAGGCGGUCACGCCGUAAAACGCCCAACUUUCUUAGAGUUGACCUCGGAUCAGGUAGGAAUACCCGCUGAACUUAAGCAUAUCAAUAAGCGGAGGA
This 344-nucleotide unclassified non-coding RNA is filed under the name soil metagenome. RNAcentral describes it as "partial contains 5.8S ribosomal RNA, internal transcribed spacer 2, and large subunit ribosomal RNA". The stretch from base 1 to 121 matches the Rfam family "5.8S ribosomal RNA", at positions 35 to 154 of the family's 154-position model. The record is from RNAcentral.